UUGUAACACGAACUGGUGUUAAAGGGUCCUGCCCAAUGGCUGACAGGUGCUGUCGGGGCAGGGACCCUUUAGCACCGGUUCGUGUUACAGA
Molecule: microRNA precursor, 91 nt
Organism: Sorghum bicolor (sorghum)
Lineage: Eukaryota; Viridiplantae; Streptophyta; Magnoliopsida; Poales; Poaceae
Rfam family: MIR5387 microRNA precursor family
Source: Rfam